UGCUUUACACCAUGCAAGUCGAGCGGCAGCGCGGGGGCAACCCUGGCGGCGAGCGGCGAACGGGUGAGUAAUACAUCGGAACGUAUCCUGGAGUGGGGGAUAGCUCGGCGAAAGCCGGAUUAAUACCGCAUAAGCUCUGAGGAGGAAAGCGGGGGACCGUAAGGCCUCGCGCUGCAGGAGCGGCCGAUGUCGGAUUAGCUAGUUGGUAGGGUAAAGGCCUACCAAGGCGACGAUCCGUAGCUGGUCUGAGAGGAUGAUCAGCCACACUGGGACUGAGACACGGCCCAGACUCCUACGGGAGGCAGCAGUGGGGAAUUUUGGACAAUGGGGGCAACCCUGAUCCAGCCAUUCCGCGUGAGUGAAGAAGGCCUUCGGGUUGUAAAGCUC
RNAcentral lists this ribosomal RNA (387 nucleotides) under uncultured organism. Its description in RNAcentral is "bacterial SSU rRNA". It matches the Rfam family "Bacterial small subunit ribosomal RNA", at positions 45 to 433 of the family's 1533-position model. The record is from RNAcentral.